GGCGUGCCUAACACAUGCAAGUCGAACGGAGAACUCAAAAAGCUUGCUUUGAGAGUUCUUAGUGGCGGACGGGUGAGUAACGCGUGGGCAACCUCCCCCUUAAACCGGGACAACCCUUGGAAACGAGGGCUAAUACCGGAUACACUUUUCUGAGGACAUCCUCGGGAAAGGAAAGGCGGCCUCUGAAGAUGCUGCCGAUAAGGGAUGGACCCGCGUCUGAUUAGCUGGUUGGUGGGGUAAAGGCCUACCAAGGCGACGAUCAGUAGCCGGCCUGAGAGGGUGAACGGCCACACUGGGACUGAGACACGGCCCAGACUCCUACGGGAGGCAGCAGUGGGGAAUCUUCCGCAAUGGACGAAAGUCUGACGGAGCAACGCCGCGUGUAUGACGAAGGCCUUCGGGUUGUAAAGUACUGUCUUUAGGGACGAACGGUAUCUAUGUGAACAAUGUAGGUACAUGACGGUACCUAAGGAGGAAGCCCCGGCUAACUACGUGCCAGCAGCCGCGGUAAUACGUAGGGGGCGAGCGUCGUCCGGAAUCAUUGGGCGUAAAGGGCGCGUAGGCGGAUUUUUAAGUCUGGUGUGAAAACUUGGGGCUCAACCCCAAGCCUGCAUCGG
RNAcentral lists this ribosomal RNA (617 nucleotides) under uncultured Desulfitobacterium sp. RNAcentral's name for it is "bacterial SSU rRNA". It matches the Rfam family "Bacterial small subunit ribosomal RNA", at positions 41 to 629 of the family's 1533-position model. Lineage: Bacteria; Bacillati; Bacillota; Clostridia; Eubacteriales; Desulfitobacteriaceae. The record is from RNAcentral.